This 997-nucleotide long non-coding RNA is filed under the name Pogona vitticeps (central bearded dragon). RNAcentral describes it as "lncRNA (ENSPVIG00000019848.1)". The record is from RNAcentral. Lineage: Eukaryota; Metazoa; Chordata; Lepidosauria; Squamata; Agamidae.
AAAAGCACCGAAGCGGUCAAGAUGAAGGGGCUUGCUCUGGCGAUCAUGCUGUUGAGCGUUUACUGUCUGGAAGGUAUGAUAAGAUAAAAGCCUGCCACAACUCACAAGCGAGGCCUCUGAAAAAAAGGGGACGAUGAUCCCCAUGUGUGCUUAUGAAUGGACACACAAUAAACGAUAAAGCACCAGGGCCUCCCUAUCUGCGGGAUCCAUAUCCGCUGAUUUCCCCGAUCCAUCGGCUGCAAAUUUGAAACAACCCCUCAAAAUACCCAUUUAGAUUUAUUUCAAGGGUGUAUUUUCCAGAACUGGUCACUAGAGGGAGCCAGAGAUCAUGAAAGAUAGUGAUCCAAUAAUAAUAAUAAUAAUAAUAAUAAUAAUAAUAAUAAUAAUAAUAAUAAUAAUAAUAAUAAUAAUGAAUGAAUGAAUGAAUGAAUGAAUGAAUGAAUGAAUGAAUGAAUAACAACAACAACAACAGAGGGAAAACUCAGGAUCUGAAGAAUGCAUUCCGAAACCCGCGUUUAGGCAAAAGAAAUCUCUCAAGAUCCACCUGAACUUGGGAGCAGGGCUCUCCUCACCUUCCCUUCCUUCCUUCCACCUUCCAGGCGCCGUGGUGGAACAGAAGCCCGAAGGCGAAGCACCGCCCCAGGUCCCUGACAUUACGGGGGCUUUGCAAGAGUACGCCCAGGUCCUCUCUCAAUAUUUCACCAGAGAGGUGGUGCCCCAGGAGAGGUUUGAGCAGCUACGAACCCAAGCCCAGGCAUUUGCUCAGCAGACCCUGAAACCUAUAACUGACCAAAUGACCGAGACGUUCAGCCAGUUUCUAGAGUCUGUAAAGGAAUCGGUGAUGAAAGCUGCCACAUAAAAAGUCUCUUCUUUAAUGAGUCCUCCAGCCCAAGCCCUGGAAGAAAAGCUUUGACAAGCAAGCACCUUGUUAUAACACGAAGACGGGUUUCAAAUCUCUAUCAGGCUGCAAUAAAGACAAAGCAAAUUUUAUCCUGCA